This is a small nucleolar RNA of Myotis lucifugus (little brown bat), 73 nucleotides long. The record is from Ensembl. NCBI's taxonomy places the organism in Eukaryota, Metazoa, Chordata, Mammalia, Chiroptera, Vespertilionidae.
UGGAUCAAUGAUGCUAACUGCCAGAGUAUGAGUCACGGAUGAUGAAUAAUAUGUCUCCAACUCUGAGAUCCAA